This 254-nucleotide ribosomal RNA is filed under the name uncultured bacterium. Its description in RNAcentral is "partial 16S ribosomal RNA". It matches the Rfam family "Bacterial small subunit ribosomal RNA", at positions 84 to 339 of the family's 1533-position model. The record is from RNAcentral.
CCGGUGGAUUAGUGGCGAACGGGUGAGUAACACGUGAGAAAUCUGCCCCUGACUCUGGGAUAACUGCGGGAAACUGUAGCUAAUACCGGAUACUUUCCCUGGUGGGCAUCCACUGGGGAAGAAAGAAUUUCGGUCAGGGAGGAUCUCGCGGCCUAUCAGCUAGUUGGUGAGGUAAAAGCUCACCAAGGCGAUAAUCAAUAGCUGAUUUGAGAGGAUGAUCAGCCACACUGGGACUGAGACACGGCCCAGACUCC